UACGGAGGGUGCAAGCGUUAUCCGGAUUUAUUGGGUUUAAAGGGUCCGUAGGCGGGUUAAUAAGUCAGUGGUGAAAGCCGGCAGCUCAACUGUCGAACUGCCAUUGAUACUGUUAGUCUUGAAUUCGGUUGAUGUGGGCGGAAUAUGACAUGUAGCGGUGAAAUGCUUAGAUAUGUCAUAGAACACCGAUUGCGAAGGCAGCUCACAAAGCCUGGAUUGACGCUGAUGGACGAAAGCGUGGGGAUCAAACAGG
Molecule: ribosomal RNA, 253 nt
Filed under: uncultured bacterium
Lineage: Bacteria
Description: partial 16S ribosomal RNA
Rfam family: Bacterial small subunit ribosomal RNA
Source: RNAcentral